GACGAACGCUGGCGGCGUGCUUAACACAUGCAAGUCGAACGGAAAGGCCCUGCUUGCAGGGUACUCGAGUGGCGAACGGGUGAGUAACACGUGGGUGAUCUGCCCUGCACUUCGGGAUAAGCCUGGGAAACUGGGUCUAAUACCGGAUAGGAGCCAUUUUUAGUGUGAUGGUUGGAAAGUUUUUUUCGGUGUAGGAUGAGCUCGCGGCCUAUCAGCUUGUUGGUGGGGUAAUGGCCUACCAAGGCGGCGACGGGUAGCCGGCCUGAGAGGGUGGACGGCCACAUUGGGACUGAGAUACGGCCCAGACUCCUACGGGAGGCAGCAGUGGGGAAUAUUGAACAAUGGGCGCAAGCCUGAUGCAGCGACGCCGCGUGGGGGAUGACGGCCUUCGGGUUGUAAACUCCUUUCGCUAGGGACGAAGCUUUUUGUGACGGUACCUAGAGAAGAAGCACCGGCUAACUACGUG
RNAcentral lists this ribosomal RNA (466 nucleotides) under uncultured bacterium. RNAcentral's name for it is "partial 16S ribosomal RNA". It matches the Rfam family "Bacterial small subunit ribosomal RNA", at positions 28 to 507 of the family's 1533-position model. The record is from RNAcentral.